AGAGUUUGAUCAUGGCUCAGGAUGAACGCUGGCGGUCUGCUUAACACAUGCAAGUCGAACGCAAGUAGCAAUACUUGAGUGGCGGACGGGUGAGUAACGCGUGAGAAUCUGCCUUUUGGUCGGGGACAACCACUGGAAACGGUGGCUAAUACCGGAUAUGCCUAACGGUGAAAGAUUAAUUGCCAGAAGAGGAGCUCGCGUCUGAUUAGCUAGUUGGUGAGGUAAGAGCUCACCAAGGCAUCGAUCAGUAGCUGGUCUGAGAGGAUGAUCAGCCACACUGGGACUGAGACACGGCCCAGACUCCUACGGGAGGCAGCAGUGGGGAAUUUUCCGCAAUGGGCGAAAGCCUGACGGAGCAAGACCGCGUGAGGGAGGAAGGCUCUUGGGUUGUAAACCUCUUUUGUCAGGGAAGAACACAAUGACGGUACCUGAAGAAUCAGCAUCGGCUAACUCCGUGCCAGCAGCCGCGGUAAUACGGGGGAUGCAAGCGUUAUCCGGAAUUAUUGGGCGUAAAGCGUCCGCAGGUGGCUAAUCAAGUCUGCUGUCAAAGGUUGGGGCUUAACCCCAAAAAGGCAGUGGAAACUGAGAAGCUAGAGUGCAGUAGGGGUAGAGGGAAUUCCCGGUGUAGCGGUGAAAUGCGUAGAGAUCGGGAAGAACAUCGGUGGCGAAAGCGCUCUACUGGACUGCAACUGACACUCAGGGACGAAAGCUAGGGGAGCGAAUGGGAUUAGAUACCCCCGUAGUCC
This 746-nucleotide ribosomal RNA is filed under the name uncultured cyanobacterium. RNAcentral's name for it is "bacterial SSU rRNA". It matches the Rfam family "Bacterial small subunit ribosomal RNA", at positions 8 to 796 of the family's 1533-position model. The record is from RNAcentral. Lineage: Bacteria; Bacillati; Cyanobacteriota.